GAGUAACGCGUGGGUAACCUGCCCCACACUGGGGGAUAACAGUCAGAAAUGACUGCUAAUACCGCAUAAGCGCACGGGAUUGCAUGAUCCAGUGUGAAAAACUCCGGUGGUGUGAGAUGGACCCGCGUUGGAUUAGCCAGUUGGCAGGGUAACGGCCUACCAAAGCGACGAUCCAUAGCCGGCCUGAGAGGGUGGACGGCCACAUUGGGACUGAGACACGGCCCAGACUCCUACGGGAGGCAGCAUG
Molecule: ribosomal RNA, 247 nt
Filed under: uncultured bacterium
Lineage: Bacteria
Description: partial 16S ribosomal RNA
Rfam family: Bacterial small subunit ribosomal RNA
Source: RNAcentral